CAGAGGUCCCAAGCGUUGUUCGGAUUCACUGGGCGUAAAGGGUGCGUAGGUGGUGAGGUAAGUCGGAUGUGAAAUCUCCGGGCUCAACCCGGAAAUGGCAUUGGAAACUACCUUGCUGGAGGAUUUGAGGGGGGAUUGGAAUACUUGGUGUAGCAGUGAAAUGCGUAGAUAUCAAGUGGAACACCAGUGGCGAAGGCGAAUCCCUGGAGAAUACCUGACACUGAGGCACGAAAGCUAGGGGAGCAAACAGGAUUAGAUACCCUGGUAGUCCUAGCCCUAAACGGUGCUUGCUUGCUGUAAGAGGAAUCGACCCCUCUUGUGGCGGAGCUAACGCGUUAAGCAAGCCGCCUGGGAAGUACGGUCGCAAGAUUAA
Molecule: ribosomal RNA, 373 nt
Filed under: uncultured organism
Description: bacterial SSU rRNA
Rfam family: Bacterial small subunit ribosomal RNA
Source: RNAcentral